AUCUCGCCACCCCGGGGAGGGAUGAGAAGCCUCGACCAGGGUUCGACAGGCGGUUUACCGCCUGGACGGCAGGGCCGCUUGCGGACAUGCCGCCCGAAGGGUGAGGCCCGGCGGGCCGAAUCAAUCCCUCCCUCACCGCCA
This 141-nucleotide small RNA is filed under the name Cronobacter muytjensii. RNAcentral describes it as "RtT sRNA". It matches the Rfam family "RtT RNA". Rfam says of the family: This family represents a bacterial cis-regulatory element known as RtT RNA. The record is from RNAcentral. Lineage: Bacteria; Pseudomonadati; Pseudomonadota; Gammaproteobacteria; Enterobacterales; Enterobacteriaceae.